GAUGAACGCUGGCGGCGUGCCUAAUACAUGCAAGUCGAGCGAACGGACGAGAAGCUUGCUUCUCUGAUGUUAGCGGCGGACGGGUGAGUAACACGUGGAUAACCUACCUAUAAGACUGGGAUAACUUCGGGAAACCGGAGCUAAUACCGGAUAAUAUUUUGAACCGCAUGGUUCAAAAGUGAAAGACGGUCUUGCUGUCACUUAUAGAUGGAUCCGCGCUGCAUUAGCUAGUUGGUAAGGUAACGGCUUACCAAGGCAACGAUGCAUAGCCGACCUGAGAGGGUGAUCGACCACACUGGAACUGAGACACGGUCCAGACUCCUACGGGAGGCAGCAGUAGGGAAUCUUCCGCAAUGGGCGAAAGCCUGACGGAGCAACGCCGCGUGAGUGAUGAAGGCCUUCGGAUCGUAAAACUCUGUUAUUAGGGAAGAACAUAUGUGUAAGUAACUGUGCACAUCUUGACGGUACCUAAUCAGAAAGCCACGGCUAACUACGUG
RNAcentral lists this ribosomal RNA (497 nucleotides) under uncultured bacterium. RNAcentral describes it as "partial 16S ribosomal RNA". It matches the Rfam family "Bacterial small subunit ribosomal RNA", at positions 28 to 507 of the family's 1533-position model. The record is from RNAcentral.